GGUUUAUCACCAACAUAUAAAUAUGUGCAUAGAAUUUUACACUGGAACCUAAGAUGAAAAAGGAGCAACUAUGUUGCCAUAUACUUAAAUUAAAUACCCACAUUAGAUGAGGUAAAUCAGUAUUCAUGGUAUAAGCAGCAAAUUGCUGGAAGGGAUUAAUAUACUGUUCAAUUAACACCCUGAAUUGUCCUAUCUUGUUUUUAAGGGCACCAAUCAUCUGAAUUCCAUCAGAAUGCAAUAUAUGAAAGUUCCCAUAAUCCUUAAGCUUGUGAAUCCAUGUGUAUGCAUAACCUAUACUAAAUGCUACAUUUCCAGAUCUCAGAAGGGACAUUCACUGAACAAACU
Molecule: non-coding RNA, 345 nt
Organism: Pelobates cultripes (western spadefoot toad)
Lineage: Eukaryota; Metazoa; Chordata; Amphibia; Anura; Pelobatidae
Source: the annotation of a GenBank genome assembly